GAUGAACGCUGGCGGCGUGCCUAAUACAUGCAAGUCGAGCGAACAGACGAGGAGCUUGCUCCUCUGACGUUAGCGGCGGACGGGUGAGUAACACGUGGAUAACCUACCUAUAAGACUGGGAUAACUUCGGGAAACCGGAGCUAAUACCGGAUAACAUGUUGAACCGCAUGGUUCAACAGUGAAAGACGGUCUUGCUGUCACUUAUAGAUGGAUCCGCGCCGCAUUAGCUAGUUGGUAAGGUAACGGCUUACCAAGGCAACGAUGCGUAGCCGACGUGAGAGGGUGAUCGGCCACACUGGAACUGAGACACGGUCCAGACUCCUACGGGAGGCAGCAGUAGGGAAUCUUCCGCAAUGGGCGAAAGCCUGACGGAGCAACGCCGCGUGAGUGAAGAAGGUCUUCGGAUCGUAAAACUCUGUUAUUAGGGAAGAACAAAUGUGUAAGUAACUAUGCACGUCUUGACGGUACCUAAUCAGAAAGCCACGGCUAACUACGUG
Molecule: ribosomal RNA, 497 nt
Filed under: uncultured bacterium
Lineage: Bacteria
Description: partial 16S ribosomal RNA
Rfam family: Bacterial small subunit ribosomal RNA
Source: RNAcentral